Molecule: ribosomal RNA, 399 nt
Filed under: uncultured bacterium
Lineage: Bacteria
Description: bacterial SSU rRNA
Rfam family: Bacterial small subunit ribosomal RNA
Source: RNAcentral
AUUGAACGCUGGCGGCAUGCUUUACACAUGCAAGUCGAACGGCAGCACGGGAGCUUGCUCCUGGUGGCGAGUGGCGAACGGGUGAGUAAUGCAUCGGAACGUACCCAGUAGUGGGGGAUAGCCCGGCGAAAGCCGGAUUAAUACCGCAUAUUUCCUGAGGGAGAAAGCGGGGGGACCUUCGGGCCUCGCGCUACUGGAGCGGCUGAUGUCGGAUUAGCUAGUUGGUGAGGUAAAGGCUCACCAAGGCGACGAUCCGUAGCUGGUCUGAGAGGAUGAUCAGCCACACUGGGACUGAGACACGGCCCAGACUCCUACGGGAGGCAGCAGUGGGGAAUUUUGGACAAUGGGGGCAACCCUGAUCCAGCCAUGCCGCGUGAGUGAAGAAGGCCUCGGUGUAAG